Molecule: ribosomal RNA, 408 nt
Filed under: uncultured Methylomirabilota bacterium
Lineage: Bacteria; Methylomirabilota (SeqCode)
Description: bacterial SSU rRNA
Rfam family: Bacterial small subunit ribosomal RNA
Source: RNAcentral
CGUGGAGACAGGUGGUGCAUGGCUGUCGUCAGCUCGUGUCGUGAGAUGUUGGGUUAAGUCCCGCAACGAGCGCAACCCUCACCUCCUGUUGCCAUCAGGUCAUGCUGGGCACUCUAGAGGAACUGCCCCGGUCAACGGGGAGGAAGGCGGGGAUGACGUCAAGUCAUCAUGCCCCUUACGUCCUGGGCUGCACACGUGCUACAAUGGCCGGUACAAAGGGAUGCCACACCGCGAGGUAGAGCUAAACCCAAAAAGCCGGUCUAAGUUCAGAUUGGAGUCUGCAACUCGACUCCAUGAAGGAGGAAUCGCUAGUAAUCGCGUAUCAGCACGACGCGGUGAAUACGUUCCCGGGCCUUGUACACACCGCCCGUCACACCACGAAAGCCUGCUGUACUCGAAGUCGCUGAG